AAUCAACGCUGGCGGCGUGCCUCAGACAUGCAAGUCGAACGAUUAAAGCUCUCUUCGGAGAGUGCAUAGAGUGGCGCACGGGUGAGUAACACGUAAGUAAUCUACCUUCGAGUGGGGAAUAACAGUCGGAAACGACUGCUAAUACCGCAUAAUGCAGCGGCAUCGCAAGAUGACAGUUGUUAAAGGAGCAAUUCGCUUGAAGAGGAGCUUGCGGCAGAUUAGCUUGUUGGUAAGGUAACGGCUUACCAAGGCUACGAUCUGUAACCGGUCUAAGAGGACGGUCGGUCACACUGACACUGAAUAACGGGUCAGACUCCUACGGGAGGCAGCAGUCGGGAAUUUUGGGCAAUGGGCGAAAGCCUGACCCAGCAACGCCGCGUGAAGGAUGAAGUAUUUCGGUAUGUAAACUUCGAAAGAAUGGGAAGAAUCAAUGACGGUACCAUUUAUAAGGUCCGGCUAACUACGUGCCAGC
This 472-nucleotide ribosomal RNA is filed under the name uncultured bacterium. Its description in RNAcentral is "bacterial SSU rRNA". It matches the Rfam family "Bacterial small subunit ribosomal RNA", at positions 32 to 512 of the family's 1533-position model. The record is from RNAcentral.